GGAGAGAUGGCCGAGCGGUUUAAGGCACCGGUCUUGAAAACCGGCGUGGCAGCGAUGUCACCGUGGGUUGAAUCCCUCUCUCCGCCA
RNAcentral lists this transfer RNA (87 nucleotides) under Rhodanobacteraceae bacterium. RNAcentral describes it as "tRNA-Ser". It matches the Rfam family "tRNA". From Rfam's summary of the family: Transfer RNA (tRNA) molecules are approximately 80 nucleotides in length. Their secondary structure includes four short double-helical elements and three loops (D, anti-codon, and T loops). The record is from RNAcentral. Lineage: Bacteria; Pseudomonadati; Pseudomonadota; Gammaproteobacteria; Lysobacterales; Rhodanobacteraceae.